RNAcentral lists this transfer RNA (74 nucleotides) under Acropyga goeldii. Its description in RNAcentral is "tRNA-Leu". Lineage: Eukaryota; Metazoa; Arthropoda; Insecta; Hymenoptera; Formicidae. The record is from RNAcentral.
AUUACUUUGGCAGAAAUAAGUGUAUUAAAUUUAGAAUUUAAAAUUAUAUAUUAUGAUAGGAUAUAUAAGUAAUA